GACGAACGCUGGCGGCGUGCCUAAUACAUGCAAGUAGAACGCUGAAGGAGGAGCUUGCUCUUCUGGAUGAGUUGCGAACGGGUGAGUAACGCGUAGGUAACCUGCCUGGUAGCGGGGGAUAACUAUAGGAAACGAUAGCUAAUACCGCAUAAGAGUAGAUGUUGCAUGACAUUUACUUAAACGGUGCAAUUGCAUCACUACCAGAUGGACCUGCGUUGUAUUAGCGAGUUGGUGGGGUAACGGCUUACCAAGGCGACGAUACAUAGCCGGCCUGAGAGGGUGGUCGGCCACACUGGGACUGGGACACGGCCCCGAAUCCCUACGGGGGGAGCCGUAGGGGAUCUUCGGAAAUGGGCGGAAGUCUGAACGAACAACGCCGGGUGGGUGAAGAAGGUUUUCGGGUCGUAAAACUCCGUUUUAAGGGAAGAAAGAGUGUGAGGGUGGAAAGUUCACACUGUGACGGUAUCUUAACAGAAAGGGACGGCUAACUACGUG
This 495-nucleotide ribosomal RNA is filed under the name uncultured bacterium. RNAcentral describes it as "partial 16S ribosomal RNA". It matches the Rfam family "Bacterial small subunit ribosomal RNA", at positions 28 to 507 of the family's 1533-position model. The record is from RNAcentral.